RNAcentral lists this long non-coding RNA (218 nucleotides) under Nicotiana benthamiana. RNAcentral describes it as "long non-coding RNA (NBEN_LNC036946)". The record is from RNAcentral. Lineage: Eukaryota; Viridiplantae; Streptophyta; Magnoliopsida; Solanales; Solanaceae.
UCUGGUCUAAGUUGGAUAUUGAAAGGUUUGAGUUUUUUGGCUUGGUGAGUAGUUACUUCUAUCCCUUUUCCUUUAUCUUUUUUGUCAUAUUUUUCUAGGCUAAUUGUUAUCUCUUUAAAUUCUUGCAGGUCUAUUUCUUGCUCUUUUUUGCCAUCUUCGAUAUGGCUAAUUCUGCUUUCCAGCUUUUCAAUAUUUUUCUCCAUUCCGUGUAAUUUUUG